UACAUAUUCAUCAUCCUCUUGAUCUCAUCUAUCUUUCUAUCAAAGCCAACUAUUAAGAGGAGUUAAUUUUAAAAAUGGGUCAUUUUCUUAAAAGCGUUUUCCGGCUAUGACCACCACAAACUUUCCGGCCACCACCACCACCAAAAAAUGUGCAGUUUCACCACUGAUUCUUUGUAAGGUUGUUGGUGUUAAAUUUAUGCCUUUUUGAAUUCUUCUCAAAUCUUUUUCCUACUACAAACUUGUGAAAUUCAAAGGAAUUAGAUAGUUGUGGAGUUGACAGCACACCUUUGAUUAUUUCUGUUUUGGAAACAAGCUUGUUGCUGGUUUGGAAAAUUUAGAAAAUUCAGAUUAUGCGGCUGAGCCGCCUGUUCAGAUGGUGGUGGAGGGUUUUGUUGAUUAAAAUGAAAUUUUCUUAGGAUCAAACAAUUGAUAAUAAUAAGAUGUUU
RNAcentral lists this long non-coding RNA (446 nucleotides) under Medicago truncatula (barrel medic). RNAcentral describes it as "lncRNA gene17889". Lineage: Eukaryota; Viridiplantae; Streptophyta; Magnoliopsida; Fabales; Fabaceae. The record is from RNAcentral.